UGCGUACAUCUCCUAGUGCCAUGCAUGUC
Molecule: small RNA, 29 nt
Filed under: Bombyx mori (domestic silkworm)
Lineage: Eukaryota; Metazoa; Arthropoda; Insecta; Lepidoptera; Bombycidae
Description: ovarian small RNA-34001
Source: RNAcentral